This 522-nucleotide long non-coding RNA is filed under the name Lepisosteus oculatus (spotted gar). RNAcentral describes it as "lncRNA (ENSLOCG00000023188.1)". Lineage: Eukaryota; Metazoa; Chordata; Actinopteri; Semionotiformes; Lepisosteidae. The record is from RNAcentral.
GUGGCACUGUGGAUUUAUGGCAUAUGGUGGAAGGACAAGAAGAGGUCCUUAUGAAAACUUCUCUUCCUGCAACUUGGAGUGCUUCCAGACAUUCUGUGGCUUUUUCCUGCCUGCCUAAGAAGCCAACUUUGCCUUUUUUCAUGUCUCAGCUUUCACUCCCCUCUGCUGCACCUUUGGCUGCUACUGCGCAUUCUGGCGGAGCCUUCCCUUCAAUUUCCGAAUCCACUUAAAGACCCUGAGUUUCCCCAUUUGGGAUGCCGUGCACUAACCCUCUGCAUCUAUCUGCAGCACACAGCUGCAUUACACCCCCGAUCUCCAUGUUCAGCCUAUACUCCUCCACUGACCUGCAAUGCCUUGUUGCAUUGUAACAGUUGUUAAUGCUCCUAAAUUUGUCAGAAAUAAGAAUGUUGUUGGACCAAUUGUUUAUCAUACGUAUAUGAUCACUGAAUGAAAGCACUAACACUAAAGGGUUAAUAAACAUUUCGUUUUGAUUUGCCACAGUGCCUAUAGUCUGGACUGACU